GCGGGAAUAGCUCAGUUGAUAGAGCACAACCUUGCCAAGGUUGAGGUCGCCUCUCCAUUAAAGAAGUGGCGAGUCUCGUUUCCCGCU
Molecule: transfer RNA, 87 nt
Filed under: Parendozoicomonas haliclonae
Lineage: Bacteria; Pseudomonadati; Pseudomonadota; Gammaproteobacteria; Oceanospirillales; Endozoicomonadaceae
Rfam family: tRNA
About the family: Transfer RNA (tRNA) molecules are approximately 80 nucleotides in length.
Source: Rfam by way of RNAcentral